AAAGGGUUGGCCGAGCCUAGGUGAUAGAUUGUAAAUCUAUUUACGAGAAGUUAAAAAUCUCACCCUUUA
RNAcentral lists this transfer RNA (69 nucleotides) under Hydroides elegans (calcareous tube worm). RNAcentral's name for it is "tRNA-Tyr". It matches the Rfam family "tRNA". Rfam says of the family: Transfer RNA (tRNA) molecules are approximately 80 nucleotides in length. Their secondary structure includes four short double-helical elements and three loops (D, anti-codon, and T loops). Lineage: Eukaryota; Metazoa; Annelida; Polychaeta; Sabellida; Serpulidae. The record is from RNAcentral.